RNAcentral lists this ribosomal RNA (587 nucleotides) under uncultured bacterium. RNAcentral's name for it is "partial 16S ribosomal RNA". It matches the Rfam family "Bacterial small subunit ribosomal RNA", at positions 355 to 1375 of the family's 1533-position model. The record is from RNAcentral.
UGGGGAAUCUUCCGCAAUGGACGAAAGUCUGACGGAGCAACGCCGCGUGAGUGAAGAAGGUUUUCGGAUCGUAAAACUCUGUCUUUUGGGGCGAACGUGAGUAUGGUGAACAAUCAUAGUCAGUGACGGUACCAAAGGAGGAAGCCACGGCUAACUACGUGCCAGCAGCCGCGGUAAUACGUAGGUGGCAAGCGUUGUCCGGAAUUAUUGGGCGUAAAGAGCGCGUAGGCGGGAUAGUCAGUCUGUUGUAAAGUGCGGGGCUCAACCCCGUGAUGGCAAUGGAAACAGCUAUUCUUGAGUGCAGGAGAGGAAAGUGGAAUUCCCAGUGUAGCGGUGAAAUGCGUAGAUAUUGGGAGGAACACCAGUGGCGAAGGCGACUUUCUGGACUGUGUCUGACGCUGAGGCGCGAAAGCCAGGGGAGCGAACGGGAUUAGAUACCCCGGUAGUCCUGGCCGUAAACGAUGGGUACUAGGUGUGGGAGGUAUCGACCCCUUCCGUGCCGGAGUUAACGCAAUAAGUACCCCGCCUGGGGAGUACGGUCGCAAGACUGAAACUCAAAUGAAUUGACGGGGUCAUAGCUGUUUCCU